Molecule: ribosomal RNA, 499 nt
Filed under: uncultured marine eukaryote
Lineage: Eukaryota
Description: bacterial SSU rRNA
Rfam family: Eukaryotic small subunit ribosomal RNA
Source: RNAcentral
GUUAAAAAGCUCGUAGUUGGAUUUCUGCGGGGCGGCGCGAUCUAUACUCUCAGCUACCUUCCCCGCAUCCUGCCGCGAACCGUGCUACCAUUAGUUUGGUGGCGCUGGGGAUCGGCUCGUUUACUUUGAGAAAAAUAGAGUGUUCAAAGCAGGCCACACGCCUUGAAUAAGUUAGCAUGGAAUAAUGAUAAAGGACUUCGGUUCUAUUUUGUUGGUGUUCGGGACUGAAGUAAUGAUUGAUAGGGACAGUUGGGGCGGUCAGUAUUCCAAAGCGAGAGGUGAAAUUCUUAGACCUUCGGAAGACUAACAGCUGCGAAAGCGUUCCGCAAGGAUGUUCCCUUUGAUCAAGAACGAAAGUUAGGGGAUCGAAGACGAUCAGAUACCGUCGUAGUCUCAACUAUAAACUAUACCAGCUAGGGAUCGGCCGACGUUUACUUUAUAUCGACUCGGUCGGCACCUUAUGAUAAUCUAGCUCUGGGUCCGGGGGGAGUAUGGUCCA